GUCCGCAAUCUACAGGAGCAGAAGUACCACCUUCUUCAGGAAGGAAGUCCAUCUCAUCUCCACUCUGUAUGUCAUCUUCUAUAAAUAGCCGAUUAUCUAUGUGCACCAUAUCGUCGAUAGGUGUAUAAACUGAUGAUUCUCUAAUAGUGACACCAACCGCAUCAGGAUCAACGAGAGAAAAUUGAUCCUCUGCAUGUCUGGAACUUUGAG
This 210-nucleotide long non-coding RNA is filed under the name Elaeis guineensis (African oil palm). RNAcentral describes it as "long non-coding RNA (EGUI_LNC072182)". Lineage: Eukaryota; Viridiplantae; Streptophyta; Magnoliopsida; Arecales; Arecaceae. The record is from RNAcentral.